UUGGUUGGCGAGGUGGGGAAUAGGCUUUCCAAUAGAUUUUUUCGGAGCUUUACAUUUUUCAAGCGUGGCAACGGCGCAUUACGGCCAGCAUUUCAAGAGCUUUACAGAGGGCAACUGGAGAGAGGAAAUUGUUGACCGAGUUGAUUUGCAGCUCAAGAAGGUGCUACCCCGUCUGCUCACAAGGCGCUACAACGUGAAUUUCCUACCUAACUGAUGAUUAGUGGGUGUGUUUGUGUGUUGAUUUGUUAUGUCGAGCUAUGUUUGGAUCUCUCUCCUAGCUUUGUUGGGUACUAUUGAAUUGUGUUUGCAUCUCUCCCGUAUCACUAGAUUGGUUUAAACUAUGUUUCUUUGUAUCUCUGCCCUUGUUGGGUACGUACUAAAUUUGACUUUAACUAAACAAGUGUUGUGGCUCGGCCGGCCCGUACUCUCAGUUGUUUGGAA
Long non-coding RNA from Triticum dicoccoides, 441 nucleotides. RefSeq lists it as uncharacterized. The transcript is spliced from 2 exons. Lineage: Eukaryota; Viridiplantae; Streptophyta; Magnoliopsida; Poales; Poaceae. The record is from RefSeq and is a predicted model, not a curated record.